Cyclopterus lumpus (lumpfish) is the source of this 688-nucleotide long non-coding RNA. RefSeq lists it as uncharacterized. The transcript has 4 exons. Lineage: Eukaryota; Metazoa; Chordata; Actinopteri; Perciformes; Cyclopteridae. The record is from RefSeq and is a predicted model, not a curated record.
ACACACACACACAUGAAAAGUAUUUCCCUCUUGGAAACGCUCCAUCGUGUUGGUGCUGAGUUCAGGGUUGCCCGUGAAAAGGCACAUCAGCAGUGGGCUAAUCAGCAGUUUUGUUGGUGCUUAAGUGAAUGUGUCUUGAAGGGUUACGUGACGGAGUAAUAUAUCACAACACAAGGAAAGAAGAAAGAAAGAAAAAAAACAGCGGCGGUAUGCAAAGACACUCGCACGAUGAAACGGAGGCGCAGCUGCUCUGGAGGUGUGUGCGUGACAGCCUCUGCAGGAAACUAACACCGCACACCUCCAGCUCCUCUGCAUUCCAGCUCGUCCCGAGCAUCCUGACGUGACCCGCCGCUGCUGCACGGCUCCUCACGUCCCGUAGAGUAGUAGCCCGUAAUCUCUUCAAGAAAGGCUGCCGCCUUCGCGUGACUUGACCAAGCAGAUUUAGGAUUGUCCAGAAGACCGGGACCCUCCCCUCUGGACGGCAGCUCCGCUUCUCACGCAACCUGCAGCACCAGAGGCGUAGCCGCGCGGCGCACGGCGGAGAGUCCCCGGAGAGUCAACACACACACACACACACACACACACACGCGCGCGCGUGCGCACACACAGACGCACGCACACACACACAUGGUCUGGGAGGAUCGGGACAGCGCAACUUUUACCUGCCGGACUUUCCCCUCAAUCCAAA